GUGCCAGUAGCUCAGCUGGAUAGAGCAACGGUCUUCUAAACCGUUUGUCCCGGGUUCAAAUCCCGGCUGGCACA
Molecule: transfer RNA, 74 nt
Filed under: Lacticaseibacillus casei
Lineage: Bacteria; Bacillati; Bacillota; Bacilli; Lactobacillales; Lactobacillaceae
Also listed under: 2 other names
Description: Lactobacillus casei tRNA-Arg
Rfam family: tRNA
About the family: Transfer RNA (tRNA) molecules are approximately 80 nucleotides in length. Their secondary structure includes four short double-helical elements and three loops (D, anti-codon, and T loops).
Source: RNAcentral